CAGCACUGGUAACGGUGGCUAAUACCGGAUGUGCCGAGAGGUAAAAGGCUUGCUGCCUGAAGAUGAGCUCGCGUCUGAUUAGCUAGUAGGUGUGGUAAGAGCGCACCUAGGCGACGAUCAGUAGCUGGUCUGAAAGGAUGAUCAGCCACACUGGGACUGAGACACGGCCCAAACUCCUACGGGAGGCAGCAGUGGGGAAUUUUCCGCAAUGGGCGAAAGCCUGACGGAGCAAUACCGCGUGAGGGAGGAAGGCUCUUGGGUUGUAAACCUCUUUUCUCAAGGAAAAAAAAAAUGACGGUACUUGAGGAAUAAGCAUCGGCUAACUCCGUGCCAGCAGCCGCGGUAAUACGGAGGAUGCAAGCGUUAUCCGGAAUGAUUGGGCGUAAAGCGUCCGCAGGUGGCUAUGUAAGUCUGCUGUUAAAGAGUGAGGCUCAACCUCAUAAAAGCAGUGGAAACUACAUAGCUAGAGUGCGUUCGG
Molecule: ribosomal RNA, 478 nt
Filed under: Calothrix braunii AUS-JR/BS/MS/NT-064
Lineage: Bacteria; Bacillati; Cyanobacteriota; Cyanophyceae; Nostocales; Calotrichaceae
Description: bacterial SSU rRNA
Rfam family: Bacterial small subunit ribosomal RNA
Source: RNAcentral